Molecule: long non-coding RNA, 1105 nt
Filed under: Elaeis guineensis (African oil palm)
Lineage: Eukaryota; Viridiplantae; Streptophyta; Magnoliopsida; Arecales; Arecaceae
Description: long non-coding RNA (EGUI_LNC044048)
Source: RNAcentral
CCCUAGAACAGCAUCCCACAUCCUCUGUAUUCUUUUUCCUCGUGUGAAAUUACGUUGGCGCUUGGAUCAACAAAUACAUAGCUCACCUGGCUAUUCAGCUUAAUAUUAUUCAAGACAAACAUUUCUUGUGUCCAAAUUUAGAACAGUCGUAUUCUUAAAUGCACCUGUGUCGCUACAGUGCUACAAACUGAUUCUACUUGGUUGCUAUUUUAUAUGGCAGUGAUGCUGUUUCUUUUGCACCAAAGAAUUGCUCAGAAAUCCUAUGGUUAUCAAAGUAUCUGUAAUUGCUGGCAUGGUGGAAUGAUGUAGCAUUCUUGAAUUCCAUUUUCAUUUUCAGAACAUUCACAAGUCGGAGUGAUCUCAUGGUGACUUGAUUUUGCAAUGUUUUACUUGGUAUAUAAUGUUACUGUAGGAGGCCUGAGACUUAGUUCAUUGCUGAUACUGAUUCCAGUGGCAAAAUGACGUUAUGCAAACAAUAGCAUUUACGAUCUCUUCCCAAAAUUUUUUUAAAAAAGCUUUUAGUGAGCUAAAACAAAUCAGUUCUCGCAUUCUCAUGGAGUUGCACACUAGAUCAGUGCUGGACAGAGGUGACGUUGCUGGCACAUUGCUUACCUGGAUUCGUAAAAUCCUACUUGCUAGAAACUGUUGCAACCUUUUGCUAAUUGCCAUGCCAUUCCCAAUUGAUGUACGUGGUAUCUAAUCACCAACAUGCUUGAUGAUGCCAUUCUGCAGGAAUUUUUUCGCAGAUUAAAGAAUUCUUGUUUUCCUCUAGACACUUGGUUUGGUUUCGAAAGACACCGAAUUUAUACUUGGGGUGUGUGCGUACGAAUUUGUAGAAGAUAGUUGUUAGUUUCUGUUAAGAUGGAUGUCUAGCCAGGACACCACCUUCUAAGACCUUUUCAGUAGCACGUGAUACAGCAGGAAGAAAGAAGAAAUAAAAUAAAAAAUAAUUAAAAUAUGUGGAUCAGCCACAAAAGGGCUCGCCUCCACGGGGCAUGCAAACUUCAUUAUGAAAAAGAAAUUUUACAAGAAGAGAUCUCAUCCUCAACCCUCGUACACCCAAUUUCUCUCUCACUAGAAAUUUUUCUCACAAAAGCGCUCUCUC